Molecule: ribosomal RNA, 250 nt
Filed under: uncultured bacterium
Lineage: Bacteria
Description: partial 16S ribosomal RNA
Rfam family: Bacterial small subunit ribosomal RNA
Source: RNAcentral
UACGGAGGGUGCAAGCGUUGUCCGGAUUUAUUGGGUUUAAAGGGUACGUAGGUGGCCUUAUAAGUCAGUGGUGAAAUGCUGCAGCUUAACUGUAGCACUGCCAUUGAUACUGUAGGGCUUGAGUGUCGUUGAGGCAGGCGGAAUUUAUGGUGUAGCGGUGAAAUGCAUAGAUACCAUAAAGAACACCGAUAGCGAAGGCAGCUUGCUAAGCGACAACUGACACUAAUGUACGAAAGCGUGGGUAGCGAAC